Molecule: ribosomal RNA, 575 nt
Filed under: Omphale aff. rubigus A AG-2011
Lineage: Eukaryota; Metazoa; Arthropoda; Insecta; Hymenoptera; Eulophidae
Description: eukaryotic LSU rRNA
Rfam family: Eukaryotic large subunit ribosomal RNA
Source: RNAcentral
UCAAGAGUACGUGAAACCGUUCAGGGGUAAACCUGAGAAACCCAAAAGAUCGAAUGGGGAGAUUCAUCGCCAGCGGCGUUGGCUUCCGUGCGGCUCGCGAUGGCCGGGACCUGGUUCCGCGUCACGCGCGCUGCGGUAUGUCCGGCGACGUCGGCGUGCACUUCUCCCCUAGUAGGACGUCGCGACCCGUUGGGUGUCGCCGAUGGCCGUUUGGUCGACUGCCUCGUCGCGUUCGCGCGCACGUGGCAGACCGAAGCCGAGCGUCCGGCUGCCCGGCGGUAUAGAACGCUUACGGUAAUGAGCCGCAUAAGUGCGUUAGGCUCGUCGGCAGGCUCGUCUCGCUCGGAUACGGACCUAGCGCCGUUGCCGGGUGCUUGGCGUGGCCUUAGUCGACGGUGUCCUCGGACUGGCUCUAAAUUCGAAAGGAUUACCGGUCGGCGACGCUACUGCUUUGGGUACUUUCAGGACCCGUCUUGAAACACGGACCAAGGAGUCUAACAUGUGCGCGAGUCAUUGGGACUUGAAGCCUAAAGGCGCAAUGAAAGUGAAGGUCGGCCCAGUCGACCGAGGGAGGA